GGGGAAUUUUGGACAAUGGGCGCAAGCCUGAUCCAGCAAUGCCGCGUGAGUGAAGAAGGCCUCCGGGUUGUAAAGCUCUUUUGUCAGGGAAGAAACGGGCCUUUCUAAUACAGAGGCCUAAUGACGGUACCUGAAGAAUAAGCACCGGCUAACUACGUGCCAGCAGCCGCGGUAAUACGUAGGGUGCAAGCGUUAAUCGGAAUUACUGGGCGUAAAGCGUGCGCAGGCGGUUUUGUAAGUCUGUUGUGAAAUCCCCGGGCUCAACCUGGGAAUGGCAAUGGAGACUGCAAGGCUAGAGUUUGGCAGAGGGGGGUAGAAUUCCACGUGUAGCAGUGAAAUGCGUAGAUAUGUGGAGGAACACCGAUGGCGAAGGCAGCCCCCUGGGUCAAAACUGACGCUCAUGCACGAAAGCGUGGGGAGCAAAC
RNAcentral lists this ribosomal RNA (425 nucleotides) under uncultured bacterium. RNAcentral's name for it is "bacterial SSU rRNA". It matches the Rfam family "Bacterial small subunit ribosomal RNA", at positions 356 to 773 of the family's 1533-position model. The record is from RNAcentral.